CCAUUGGCCAGUUAACUCGCCCGCUGACGUAACGCACGGAUGUUGCAUUCAUUAUUUUUUUCCUUCCCUGCAACCAGGCGAGUUCACAGAAACCGCCUCCCCCUGAAGCUCCGCCUUCCACUUCAUGUCUUAAUUCGCGGAGUGACCGUUGGAGUGAUGAGUGAACACACGCACGUCUUCAUUUGACCUGAGUGUUUUGAACUUGACGGCCCGGCGGCCCCAGCAGAUGUGAGUCAGAGCGCCAAUGAGGUUGCUUUUAUUACAGGUUUAAUCUGCUCUAAAGACUUUGACCUCAUAACAACUCAGGUUUUUGGACAAUGGAUUUUUUUAAAAGGCCAAUUUCAUGUCUUAUCUUUUUCCUCUUCACAAAGAUGAAGACGAGCUCGCAGGAGGGAAUCGAGAACCCGGAUCUGUUGGAUUGUUUGCAGAUGAAGAGACUUUAUCACAAAGAACUAAAAACAAAAAGCAAAUAACGAGCUCACCCACCAGGCUCAGUAUUCAAAGCUGCAUUCUGUGUAGUGACCAGCAGGGGGCGACUCCUCUGCUCCCAUAGACGUCUAUGAGGAAAUGACUCUACUUCUCUGUAGUGACCAGCAGGGGGCGACUCCUCUGCUCCCAUAGACGUCUAUGAGGAAAUGACUCUACUUCUC
This is a long non-coding RNA of Gasterosteus aculeatus aculeatus (three-spined stickleback), 650 nucleotides long. The record is from Ensembl. NCBI's taxonomy places the organism in Eukaryota, Metazoa, Chordata, Actinopteri, Perciformes, Gasterosteidae.